This 84-nucleotide non-coding RNA is filed under the name unclassified sequences. The record is from RNAcentral.
CCCUCUCGUGGAUUGAGACCUUGUCGUGGUGAGGGGCUGAGUAUGUGAGGAUUCUUAAUAAACAUCACGGAAACCAGCAUCAAU